This 73-nucleotide transfer RNA is filed under the name Ovis aries (sheep). It matches the Rfam family "tRNA". Rfam says of the family: Transfer RNA (tRNA) molecules are approximately 80 nucleotides in length. Their secondary structure includes four short double-helical elements and three loops (D, anti-codon, and T loops). The record is from Rfam by way of RNAcentral. Lineage: Eukaryota; Metazoa; Chordata; Mammalia; Artiodactyla; Bovidae.
UCCCUGGUAGUCCAGUGGUUAGGACUCUGUGCUUUCACUGCCAAGGGUGCAGGCUCAAUCCCUGCUGGGGGAA